AGUGUAGGUGGUAUCACAAGUCAGAAGUGAAAGCCCGGGGCUCAACCCCGGGACUGCUUUUGAAACUGUGGAACUGGAGUGCAGGAGAGGUAAGUGGAAUUCCUAGUGUAGCGGUGAAAUGCGUAGAUAUUAGGAGGAACACCAGUGGCGAAGGCGGUCUACUGGGCACCAACUGACGCUGAGGCUCGAAAGCAUGGGUAAGCAAACA
This 208-nucleotide ribosomal RNA is filed under the name uncultured bacterium. RNAcentral describes it as "partial 16S ribosomal RNA". It matches the Rfam family "Bacterial small subunit ribosomal RNA", at positions 568 to 774 of the family's 1533-position model. The record is from RNAcentral.